GUAUCUGCGGCGGCGACGGCGACGCCGGCGGCGGUGGUGGUGGUGACGUUGAUGGUGGUGGUAGUGAUAGUGGUGGUGGUGGUGGUGGUGAUGGUAGUGGUGGCGGUGAUGCUGGAGGUUGCGCUUUCUUCCGCGAAUGUUCUCCUUCCGCGUUGAGCGAUGAUCGACAUAUCACUCUCGCGCAAAAUGUGUGCGACCCUCUAACUCUUACAGUCGCCACAAAAAUCCUCGUAUAAUCCUCCAUUUUUUUACUAUUUAGUACAAAACUGUAUCUGUGUUUUUCUGUUCAUGACAAUUCUCGUACUUUUUUUCCGAAAUAAAAAAAUAUAUAUUACACGUAAGAAGCGUAUAUAAUCGUUCUUUUUUUUUUAUGAAGGUCUAGUGACUGUGAAGCGCUUAUUCACUUCUGCAGUACUUCAACCCUUCAGCGCGUCGUAUGGGACAUCAUUGACAUAAUCGACGACGAUCCAAGUCGGGAAUAAAAGAAUGAUCGAGAGCCAUUUGUUUUUUAACGAAACUCCCGACUUGUGGUUGGGACAUCUCUGCUGAUAAAGCCGAGUGCUUGUCGGCGCGUUGGAGGAGCGGCAUUGUUGUGCGACGAAACGUCGAUACAUCCGUUCCUUGACGAUUCAAUAUUCAUCUACCCUCUCAUUCACGAUGCGUCGCAAAGCCAAACGCCGUUAGCCUCGAGGUCAUUGUUAUCGCACCUCGCGUCUACCAUCGCGGUGCUUUGGUGUCGAAGAAGUGAAUGAAUAUCGCUCGAGCAUCCGCUUGAUCGAGGAGGGGAGCCUUAGAAGAGGAUCCUUACGGGGAACAUAUGGGAUUUCCUACGGUCGAUCACACUGCCGAUCCGCUCGAACGUGAAAUCGGAUCCAACCGCGAGAACGAGUUUAGACGCGUCGUCAUAGUGGUGCGAUCCUCUAGCCUCCCGACCUCGGUAUAAGGGUAGGUGUAACGGUAAACGGAGCUUCCGAAUCGCUUGGUUACACAUCCAGAAAACCGAUAUCUUGUUGCGCGUAAUACUUGGCGUAAAUAGAUCGGAGCCCGUGUCACGUCAGAUCGCGCCACAAGAGAGAGAGAGAAAGAGAAAAAUCUUGAGUGAAAACUUUAUAUACCUUGAAUUCACUUUGGAGUUUUAUAAGUGUUUCAGGCAACAGGCAUCUUUCGGUGACAAGAAUUGUACAUUUCUUAUCGUAUGCAUUUUGCUCUUUUUGUGUAUUUUUAUAGUAUAUUUUUAUAUUUAUCAUCAGAGCGAAUUAUUAAAAUCGAGAUACCGAGUCGGCAAAUAUUUUCCUAGUGACCUAUCGCAUUCUCGGGUGCCCGCGACCGACGUGCCUUUUCACAAACAAACAUUAAAGCGCAUUUCUGUCCACGAUAGAAGUUCCGUCUCGCUCUGUUUAUUCUAAGUAUCUCACGCUCAACUAGACAAGAAAAUCCCCACGGCGCUCGCCCGCCGUAAUUAAUGAUACCCUACGGGAAAGGAUUAACGUGUACACAAAGUAUGCACAUUAGUGCCCGAUCGGAGUUCGGCAUGCAUCGCGAUAACGUUUAAGGCGCUCUCCAUGCCGGGCAUUAAGGUGGCUGCAGCAGCAUCGAAUGGCCUUAAUCCGGAUCUAUAUAGCACACCGGUGUGCGGCUGCCAUUAUGCAUUAUACUCACAUGUAUAUCGGUUCGCCGCGACGUCGAAGCUUGACUUAUGCCGAUGGCCCUCACUCGCAGAUGGUUAUCUCUCGCCUUUACGAGAGAGAGCCGAUCCCUACGUAGUCCGUGCAAGCGCAACGUGCUUAAGCGAUUUAACGUAAACACACGUAGCAAUUUGUCCCGGGCUUUAUGUCGCCCUCGGGAAAAAGGAACCCACGCGCUCGUUCCGUACAGUUCGGAAGAGAGAGAGGGAGAGAGAGAGAGAGAGAGAGAGAGUGAAAAAGACGUAGGACGUCCGUGAGGCACGAGAGAAACUAUACGAGAGGAGAGGAAAAAAAGGAGAGCACAACGUAGGACGCAGGAACAAUACGCGGCUCGUUUUCUUCCUUCGACGAUAUUUUACGGGUGAAAAUAACGGAGAAAGGCGCGCGCGCGCGCCCGCGUUUCAUUAACAGCGGCGAGCUACGUGUGACGUCUUGUUCGGGCGAGAACCUCUUUCGGGGGCAGCCAAUUGCGAUCGUCCAUUUUUGCGUUAGCGUGAAAAUCAACGCUUGGGUAAAAGCGAAUGAAGAAAUAAAGUGGGCGAGUUUAUCAUCGGGUAUUGAGGCAGGUCUUCGCUCGUAGACAUUACGUCAUAUCGACGUACUCCGUGCGGCGUACGCGGCGGGGUAUGAAUUACCGCGUGCUUGUUCCCCGCGUGUAGCACGUUGUAUAUCACGCCACAUCUAGAUAAGCCGCCGUUGGAAUUAUUAACGCGCGUGGCUGCCGCGAUGACUCGGGACGCUCGUUUACAUUCGCAGUUUUACGCGAAAAAUUAGAAGGCGUAACCUAUCUCGCCUGCCCGCAGUCAUCUAAAUCAUUAUCGGACAGGCCGAAUGGGGGAAUCACGAUUUUAAUAUUGAGACUCGGAUUCUUUUCGCGGAGACGAGAAAAUAUAUAUGGACGCACGUUGAAUAUACGAAAGUGCACGAGCCCCAAAGAGACGCGAAAAACUCGACGAAGUAAAUCUCUCCCCUUCUCUCAUUCCACGCGUUGACGUGUUAUCAAUCGCGAAUAAUAUUAAUUAGUCAUUUCGAAUGCAAACAAGAUACGGGAUCGGACCGCAUAUCGCAUAUUGUUACAGCCGUCUUUGUUCUAUGUCACGGCAUAACAUAAUGCACAGGCCAUGGGGGCGUUUCGUGUCGAGCGACGUUUAGUGGAAAUCACAAUUCGCAUAACGAGAUAAUCGGCAGGCGUAAUUAAAAACAAUGUCGCGUCACGUAUGAUUAUGCGCGGCUUGCAAACCGGUGACAAUGAAUAUUGCCCGAUUGCCAAACAGACACCGCGCGUAAUUGGCUUCCGCGUUGCGGCCGUUAAACGCCGGACGAUAAACACGCUUAACGCGUAUCGUCAAAUAUGUCGCGCGAUGAUCAAUGCGAUUGACAGAAUGCGCGGACAACGGCGAGCGCGUACGUAUAGCGACGCGGCCGGCGAUUUAAUCAUUAAAUGCGACGGCAGCGGCCGGUGGCAUAAUCCGCGACAUUUGCUCGCAAAUGAACUUCGUCCGCCGUUCGGCAAGGCGUGAAACGCUCGCGAAGUCACGCGCGUGUCGGGCGAAUUGAAGGUGCCGCGAUAUGUCAUUUCGGCGAAGCGGCUUGAUAGAAAUGCGGACCGCGUCCGCGUGACCGCAUUCGCGGGCCACUAUUUUCGACCGGCUGCAAGCCAAAGACCCGCGGCAACGCUGCACCGUGACGAUCGAUUAUUAAUAUACCUCUUCGGUGUAAAUUAUAUAAUAUCGUCGGUCCUCUAUUAUUUCCACCCUUUUCGCGCGAGACCUUCUGAAAAUUUGACGCGUUCUGCCACGCGAUUUGUCUCGACGAUAAAAAUAGGAAUGAGAUCGUAAAUUAUUUCGUCGAUAAUAACUUCGCUAUACGAAUCGUGUACAAUAAAUCCAUGCCCAACUGUUCCGUAAAUUUAUUUUUAUCUGUAAUUGCUUUUCAGUUUGCGUAAGAAACUUGAAAUUUAUUUAAAGAAAGAGAAUAUAGCUCUUCCGGAUAUGGUAUAUAUAAUUCUCUUCCCCCCAUGUACAAAGACAUCGCAUCACCUCAAGUCAUUCCUUCGCACAAUUCCAUUGAUGUGAUACAUUGUAUAAGUACAGCGUUGUGCGAUCUGCUGUAUUACUUCAAAUCGAUAACCGUGCUCCUCGCUACUCUCUUGGCGUCUGUCUAUACAUUUUAACGGAACGCCAUUGCGAGCGUGCAGCUGUUGUCUUCGCAAACUCGAGAAAACCCGCGGCUAUCCCUUACAUAUAUCCGACGAAAAAUAAGUCAUGACGAGAAAUAAGAAGACCCGGCCCUCUCGUACACGGCUCGCACUCGCGGCGAUGUCAUUCGUUUUGGAAGUACGUGGUGUGCAACUGUUAUUAAUUCAAUGAGUGCUAAGGGGACCCAAGGACCAACCGCCGAGAAAGCCGGAAUGCCUAUUAGCCAUCGGUUAUUCAUGUUGAAAGUUCGUCGCACGCAAAACAGCGUGCCGCAGCUGCCUCGACGGAACGGCAUUGGUCUUGCAACGCCAAGAAGCGUGUAAUCAGCAGGAAAAAGUGGAUAUUGAUGCGUGAAUAUUUUGUUGUACAAGAAGACUAAUAAAACAUUCGGUUAAGCAGA
Long non-coding RNA from Monomorium pharaonis (pharaoh ant), 4283 nucleotides. RefSeq lists it as uncharacterized. The transcript has 2 exons. NCBI's taxonomy places the organism in Eukaryota, Metazoa, Arthropoda, Insecta, Hymenoptera, Formicidae. The record is from RefSeq and is a predicted model, not a curated record.